CAACUUUCACCAAGGGUUUUCUGGGUUCUGGCUUGGAGGAGGAAGGCAGGGAAAUGCGAUAAGUAAUGUGAAUUGCGGAAUCCAGGGAUUCAUGGAUUCUUGGAAGCCCCCUGCCGCCCUUGGUUAUUCCAAGGGCCAUCCUUGUUGGAGGGCC
This 154-nucleotide ribosomal RNA is filed under the name Agroathelia rolfsii. RNAcentral describes it as "Athelia rolfsii 5.8S ribosomal RNA". It matches the Rfam family "5.8S ribosomal RNA". From Rfam's summary of the family: 5.8S ribosomal RNA (5.8S rRNA) is a component of the large subunit of the eukaryotic ribosome. It is transcribed by RNA polymerase I as part of the 45S precursor that also contains 18S and 28S rRNA. Lineage: Eukaryota; Fungi; Basidiomycota; Agaricomycetes; Amylocorticiales; Amylocorticiaceae. The record is from RNAcentral.